This 101-nucleotide small nucleolar RNA is filed under the name Olea europaea subsp. europaea. RNAcentral's name for it is "Plant small nucleolar RNA R71". It matches the Rfam family "Plant small nucleolar RNA R71". From Rfam's summary of the family: R71 is a member of the C/D box family of snoRNAs containing the C (UGAUGA) and D (CUGA) box motifs. Multiple nearly identical copies of this snoRNA have been identified in Arabidopsis, and it is thought to function as a 2'-O-ribose methylation guide for 18S ribosomal RNA. Lineage: Eukaryota; Viridiplantae; Streptophyta; Magnoliopsida; Lamiales; Oleaceae. The record is from Rfam by way of RNAcentral.
AAACCAUGUUGUGGGCAUUGUUGUAAAAGUCCCUUGUAUCUUUCCCAUGCUUCAUACUAGUACUCUAAAUCAAGUAAUGUUAUAGUUUCAUUUCUUAAUCU